Neotoma lepida (desert woodrat) is the source of this 71-nucleotide non-coding RNA. The record is from Rfam. Lineage: Eukaryota; Metazoa; Chordata; Mammalia; Rodentia; Cricetidae.
GGAGAGAUGGCUUAGCGGUUAAGAGCACUGGCUGAUUUUCCAGAGAACCUGGGUUCAAUUCCCAGCAUCCA